AGCUCCAAUAGCGUAUAUUAAAGUUGUUGCAGUUAAAAAGCUCGUAGUUGGAUUUGUGGCUGUCGCGUGCGGCCUGACACUAGUGUUAGUGCUUGCUUGCGUCGCCAUCCUUGGGUGGAAUUUGUGUGGCAUUAGGUUGUCGUGCAGAGGAUGCCCAUCUUUUACUGUGAAAAAAUUAGAGUGUUCAAAGCAGGCUUAUGCCGUUGAAUAUAUUAGCAUGGAAUAAUAAGAUAGGACCUUGGUACUAUUUUGUUGGUUUGCGCACCAAGGUAAUGAUUAAUAGGGACAGUUGGGGGUAUUCGUAUUCCAUUGUCAGAGGUGAAAUUCUUGGAUUUCUGGAAGACGAACUACUGCGAAAGCAUUUACCAAGGAUGUUUUCAUUAAUCAAGAACGAAAGUAC
This 400-nucleotide ribosomal RNA is filed under the name phytoplankton environmental sample. Its description in RNAcentral is "partial small subunit ribosomal RNA". It matches the Rfam family "Eukaryotic small subunit ribosomal RNA", at positions 587 to 992 of the family's 1831-position model. The record is from RNAcentral.